AAUAAAGUAAGCUAAACUAAGCUAAUGGGCUCAUACCCCACCGAUAGAGACUACUCUCUUUAUUA
RNAcentral lists this transfer RNA (65 nucleotides) under Triops cancriformis. RNAcentral describes it as "tRNA-Met". Lineage: Eukaryota; Metazoa; Arthropoda; Branchiopoda; Notostraca; Triopsidae. The record is from RNAcentral.